AACAGACGUAAUUGUUAUACAGAAAAAUACGAAACUGGAAACUUAUCGUCGUGUUCAUGUCAUCUACGUGCUGCUCUUUAGCAGUCCUGAAGUAGCCAUCAUCAUGAACAACAAUGAAUGCAGGUUUUGCUUGUGUUCGACCAUUCAUCAGCUCGGCAGUCUCUACUACUUCAUCAUUAUGUUAAACAGCAUCCCGAAAAUCCAGGCCAUGUGGUUUACCUCUUUUUCUCCAUUGUCUAAUCCCCUCUGUCCUUGUGUACACCCAUUUGAGUGUGGGUGUAUUCACGAUUUCACGAUGACACCCUUUCUCUCAUCCCACCUGAAGUUGCUUUUCCAACUUUUCUGCGGAUGGGACACUUGGUAAUGCCGGGCCGUAUUUCCUAGGCUUAAUGGGUAGGAACGAUGUCAUUCUCGUGUACACCCCUGGGUAUCUCCUAGCACAUCCUAUUGUACAAAAAAGUACAUAAUUGAUGCGGUAGAACUCACAUAAUCAAUCAAAAUUAUGACACACCUCGACCGAAGCUGACGAUUCCAACCUGAAUCCAAGGACAUUUCUGAUGAUGAUCGUUCGCCUCGAUGACCAAGGGGCCACCGCUAUCGUUCUGUUGAAAAGAAGAAACCGAAUUUAAAAGUAAAGAGAGUUGGAAAUGAUGCGAAUGUUGGCGUGACGAAGGAAAUCGGAAUUUUUCCCUUUUUCGAGCGUCCGUCCCCAUCCCUUGGCAGUGGCCAUCUGGUUCAGAUACAGUUCGCUGGAUCCCGCCGGAGGUAAACAGACGGGUGAAAUAGCCGAAGUGAAAACGACGGGCGACUCCAACGUCAGGAUGGCUAUGUCGUUGUACUGAAAUUAAAAUUCAGUCAACAUAGUUACCAUGAAGGGGUACUGGUUCGGUGCUGUUUCCUCCCCACCAACCAUUCUCGCUGUCCGUUUCUCACUUUGUUUAAUUUCAUCUGGUUGCAGAUCUCAAGAGAAUUAUGAAACGAGCGACCGUUGGCUGAGCCGGAGAAGAGUAGCAGGAUUUCCGUUAAAACAAUAACUGUUAGGUGAAAAACUCGUGCCAUACUUAAAAUAUCACUACGACAAACAAACAGAAAUGAAUUAGCCAACUUAAUUAAUAGCCUAGUUCUUUUGAGUUUAGCUGCGCAGCACAACUUGUAAAGACCUACUGAGAUACUAUCUCUAGCAAACUGGCUUGUUCUGUCGUGUGAAGGUGUUUCCACGCGGCUGUGACGGCAUUCAGCCAAGCGGAAUCCCGCCGUCAUUUCCUUUCAUAUUAAUUUUGUUUUAAGGUCCUUGAAAUGUACAGAGAAAUUUUGUACCUUGAACUUUGCUCUUUUUGUGAUUUUGUUUGUUUUUAAUGUGUGCUGAAUUGUCGUUUAUGUUUAGGAUGUCCGGAGUGGGUGAUGUAAGGAAAUCGUAAAACCUUUCAAGGUUGCCGAUGACUGAGUGAAGGACGCCGAAGGACCUAUGAUACUUACUGAUCGCCUUAUUGACAGCACCGAAGACUACGGAUGUAAUUUGCCUUUCCAGGCGCAGGAUGACGACAUGGUUAAGUAAAAUUACAUUAGUGUUCUUCCAAACGUAUUGCAGACUAGUAAAGGCUUCAAUUGGCUUUUCUGUUUAAAUGAGGAGAGCAAAAUACGUCAACAGUCCAUUAUAAUUGAUUUUAUUGAACUUGUAUUGAUACUUGUUUAAAUUUAAAAAGGUGCAAAAAAUCUGUUUGUGAUUAUUAAAAAAAUGUAAAUGUUGUUUCAGGUCGAUUUGGUGUUUCCACAUCGCCAAGUAAAUUUAAAGGAUUAAAAGACAAAGUUGAUGCUCAA
Molecule: long non-coding RNA, 1818 nt
Filed under: Daphnia pulicaria
Lineage: Eukaryota; Metazoa; Arthropoda; Branchiopoda; Diplostraca; Daphniidae
Description: uncharacterized LOC124328616, transcript variant X5
Source: RNAcentral